AAAUGCUUGCACUUUUUUUUUCUUUCGUUUCUUAAAAAAAAUAGAAAAUAGAUGAAAAUAGAAGAGAGAACACAGAACAGAGAAGGUGAGCAACGGUAAUCUCAGUCAGAUCGGAACCGGAGAAUCAUCGAUGACAAGAUUUGAAGGAUAUUUCCCACCAUAUAGAGAGAGUGAGAAAAAAGAAGAUGAAGAUCUAGAAAAAAAAUCAGGUAGAGAAGAGAGAACAAUACUUCUGUCAUGCAUACUCUCAAGAAUCAAGAAGAAGACUUUAGACUUGUUUAUUUACAUGUUACAAUAAAAGAAAAUAAGUGAAUGAAUUAUAUGACCAACCCUUAUUAAUUACUAUUACUAGUAGCUAGUAGAAUACAGUAUGUGGGAAAGUGGAAACGGAAACUGGAUAUUGAAUUGGAGUGUCUUGGAAAUAUAGCUAGCUAUAUGUGACUUAGUGGGUGUUUUUGUGAGUUCCAAGACCAUGUAGGAGUAGGUAACUAUGAGUUGGCAACAAGUUAUCACUUGUUUGCUUUUUCUAAAAGUUGUUGAUUGCACAAAGCUACAGUAGUAGGACACGUUAAAGGUAAUUCUUUUUUAGGUGUUAUGAUUUUUUUAUAAUCUGAUUUUUUUUA
Molecule: long non-coding RNA, 623 nt
Filed under: Trifolium pratense (red clover)
Lineage: Eukaryota; Viridiplantae; Streptophyta; Magnoliopsida; Fabales; Fabaceae
Description: long non-coding RNA (TPRA_LNC010128)
Source: RNAcentral